GAUGAACGCUGGCGGCGUGCCUAAUACAUGCAAGUCGAGCGAACAGACGAGGAGCUUGCUCCUCUGACGUUAGCGGCGGACGGGUGAGUAACACGUGGAUAACCUACCUAUAAGACUGGGAUAACUUCGGGAAACCGGAGCUAAUACCGGAUAAUAUAUUGAACCGCAUGGUUCAAUAGUGAAAGACGGUUUUGCUGUCACUUAUAGAUGGAUCCGCGCCGCAUUAGCUAGUUGGUAAGGUAACGGCUUACCAAGGCAACGAUGCGUAGCCGACCUGAGAGGGUGAUCGGCACACUGGAACUGAGACACGGUCCAGACUCCUACGGGAGGCAGCAGUAGGGAAUCUUCCGCAAUGGGCGAAAGCCUGACGGAGCAACGCCGCGUGAGUGAUGAAGGUCUUCGGAUCGUAAAACUCUGUUAUUAGGGAAGAACAAAUGUGUAAGUAACUAUGCACGUCUUGACGGUACCUAAUCAGAAAGCCACGGCUAACUACGUG
Molecule: ribosomal RNA, 496 nt
Filed under: uncultured bacterium
Lineage: Bacteria
Description: partial 16S ribosomal RNA
Rfam family: Bacterial small subunit ribosomal RNA
Source: RNAcentral